RNAcentral lists this ribosomal RNA (726 nucleotides) under Cyclophorus pyrostoma. RNAcentral's name for it is "partial 16S ribosomal RNA". The record is from RNAcentral. Lineage: Eukaryota; Metazoa; Mollusca; Gastropoda; Architaenioglossa; Cyclophoridae.
AAAUUAUUAGUUAUACUAGAUAUUAAAAUUCUUAAAGAAACAUCAUUUGUGUUUAGUAGUGGUGAAGGAAAAUAAUGUUAUAUAUGGCAUAGUACUGUGUAGGAAAUUGUAAAUUUUUUUUUAGUAAAAUUUUAUCUUGUACCUUUUGCAUCAUGGUUUAGCAAGAAAGUUGCUUGGAUUAAAUUUCUCGAAACCUAAAGAGUUACCUUAGUUUUGGUUUAGCCUAAUUGAAUAGUGGGUGUGGCAAAACUCUGUUUAAAAGUUAAGGUAGAAAUUAAAUGUUAUUCGUUUUAGGUGAUAGCUAGUUGUGAUAGAAAAAUAUAUAAGUAUUGGUUACAAUAAUUACUAUAUGUUUGUAUUAUACAUAUAAUGAUUUGUUUUCUUAGUUGUAUGAGGAUAAGCUCGUAUAAAGUUUGUUAGCUAAAAAUAUUAUAUAAAUCUAAGCUUGAUAUUAGCUAUGAUAAUGAAUUUGUUAAAAAUGCAUAUAGGUAUAUAUUUAUAUUAUAUUAGAUUAAUAUCAUUUAAUUAUGUAAUCAAAAUAUAAUUGGUUUAUGCUAAAAUGAGUAUUAAUUACAAGUUAAAAUUAAGAACAAGUUAAAUUAUUCUACUUACAAUUUCGUAUGUAUUAUAAAAUAUAUUUUAGGAAUUCGGCAAAACUUAGCUUCGCCUGUUUAGCAAAAACAUGUCUCUUUGAAAAAUAAGGUAUAAGGAGUCUAGCCUGCCCGG